GCGGUAAUUCCAGCUCCAAUAGCGUAUAUUAAAGUUGUUGCAGUUAAAAAGCUCGUAGUUGAACUUUGGGUCUGGGUGACCGGUCCCCCGACUGGGUGUGCACUGGAAACCCGGAUCUUUCCUUCUGGAGAACCUCAUGCCCUUCACUGGGUGUGUUGGGGAACUAGGACUUUUACUUUGAAAAAAUUAGAGUGUUCAAAGCAGGCUUUUGCUCGAAUACAUUAGCAUGGAAUAAUAAAAUAGGACGUGCGGUUCUAUUUUGUUGGUUUCUAGGACCGCCGUAAUGAUUAAUAGGGAUAGUCGGGGGCAUCCGUAUUCGAUUGUCAGAGGUGAAAUUCUUGGAUUUUUCGAAGACGAACUACUGCGAAAGCAUUUGCCAAGGAUGUUUUCAUUAAUCAGGAACGAAAGUUGAGGGAUCGAAGACGAUCAGAUACCGUCGUAGUCUCAACCAUAAACUAUGCCGACUAGGAAUCGGGCGAUGUUUUCAAUUUGACUCGCUCGGCACCUUACGAGAAAUCAAAGUUUUUGGGUUCUGGGGGGAGUAUGGUCGCAAGGCUGAAACUUAAAGGAAUUGAC
RNAcentral lists this ribosomal RNA (576 nucleotides) under Octospora tetraspora. RNAcentral's name for it is "SSU rRNA". It matches the Rfam family "Eukaryotic small subunit ribosomal RNA", at positions 576 to 1157 of the family's 1831-position model. The record is from RNAcentral. Lineage: Eukaryota; Fungi; Ascomycota; Pezizomycetes; Pezizales; Pyronemataceae.